Molecule: ribosomal RNA, 379 nt
Filed under: uncultured bacterium
Lineage: Bacteria
Description: bacterial SSU rRNA
Rfam family: Bacterial small subunit ribosomal RNA
Source: RNAcentral
CGGUACCCAACGAAUAAGCAUCGGCUAACUCCGUGCCAGCAGCCGCGGUAAGACGGAGGAUGCAAGCGUUAUCCGGAAUUAUUGGGCGUAAAGCGUACGUAGGCUGUUUCAUAAGUCUGUUGUCAAAGCGCGAGGCUCAACCUUGUAAAGGCAAUGGAAACUGCGAGACUAGAGAGAGAUAGGGGCAGGAGGAAUUCCAGGUGUAGCGGUGAAAUGCGUAGAUAUCUGGAAGAACACCAGUGGCGAAAGCGUCCUGCUGGAUCUCAACUGACGCUGAAGUACGAAAGCUAGGGGAGCGAAUGGGAUUAGAUACCCCAGUAGUCCUAGCCGUAAACGAUGGGUACUAGGUGUUGGUCGUAUCGACCCGAUCAGUGCCGUA